This 570-nucleotide ribosomal RNA is filed under the name Metarhizium anisopliae. RNAcentral's name for it is "partial 18S ribosomal RNA". The stretch from base 168 to 320 matches the Rfam family "5.8S ribosomal RNA". Lineage: Eukaryota; Fungi; Ascomycota; Sordariomycetes; Hypocreales; Clavicipitaceae. The record is from RNAcentral.
CCGUAGGUGACCAUUCUGCGGAGGGAUCAUUACCGAGUUAUCCAACUCCCAACCCCUGUGAAUCAUACCUUUAAUUGUUGCUUCGGCGGGACUUCGCGCCCGCCGGGGACCCGAACCUUCUGAAUUUUUUAAUAAGUAUCUUCUGAGUGGUUAAAAAAAUGAAUCAAAACUUUCAACAACGGAUCUCUUGGUUCUGGCAUCGAUGAAGAACGCAGCGAAAUGCGAUAAGUAAUGUGAAUUGCAGAAUUCAGUGAAUCAUCGAAUCUUUGAACGCACAUUGCGCCCGUCAGUAUUCUGGCGGCAUGCCUGUUCGAGCGUCAUUACGGGCCCAUUUCAAGUCCCCUGUGGACUUGGUGUUGGGGAUCGGCGAGGCUGGUUUUCCAGCACAGCCGUCCCUUAAAUUAAUUGGCGGUCUCGCCGUGGCCCUAAUCUCUGCGCAGUAGUAAAACACUCGCAACAGGAGCCCGGCGCGGUCCACUGCCGUAAAACCCCCCAACUUUUUAUAGUUGACCUCGAAUCAGGUAGGACUACCCGCUGAACUUAAGCAUAUCAAUAAGCGGAGUAUAUUGC